RNAcentral lists this long non-coding RNA (744 nucleotides) under Oryctolagus cuniculus (rabbit). RNAcentral's name for it is "lncRNA (ENSOCUG00000036635.1)". The record is from RNAcentral. Lineage: Eukaryota; Metazoa; Chordata; Mammalia; Lagomorpha; Leporidae.
AUGGCUGGCACAGGACCCCCGGGGCACGGCAGGUGCCCGUUGCCCGCUCCGCCAGCGGCUGCAUUCCCCAAAAGCACACCAUCCCAUCGUGUCUGCUGCCUCCUGACCCCCGGCCCUUAUCUCAUCCCACAUCACCUUCCUGCGUUUCCUGGCCUCUCCCUGCCCCGGGCCAUCCCUGGGUCUCCGGAGCGAGCCGUGGCCACGCCCGAGCUGGCGCGGGUUACCAGCAGCCGCGGGGCUGGGACCGCUCGCCGCCGGGCCCGGGCUUCGCGCUCGUCCUGGCCGCUGGGGCCUCGGAGAGCGGCGGCAGGAGCGAGGCAUCACCCGAGCGCUGACAGGCGCCUCUCCGCCUUCCCCGCCCGGCGCAUUCGCCUUGCCACGUGCAGAACCCGGCAGGCGCGGACCGCCAGCGCCCUCGCGGUUGCCGUGGCUACGCACGAGCGGCCGCAGCUGACCCAGGCGGGGCCUCCCUCCGCCGCCUCCGCCUCGGGCUCCGUCCCCGCUCGGUUAGGGAACCCCAAGCCCCCGGCCCCUACAAGCUGUGCACACCUGCAGCAGACCCGUUUCUGCAAAGCUUCUGAAGAAAAGAAAACAACUUCAAAGCGCUUGGAAAAGUUGUUGAAUAGGAAAGCUGGCUGUCCUGGAAAUCCCGGCUACUGCUCUGUAACACAAGGCACCUCACCUGUCUCUGCUCAGGCACACAGAAGGAAUUUCCCAUUUUCCUCUUCUCUUUCCUUUUGCUGA